GCCGGCGAGUGGACGAACGGGUGAGUAAUAUAUACGGAACGUUACCUUCAGGUGGGGGAAUAACGUAGCGAAAGUUACGCUAAUACCGCAUAUUCUGUGAGCAGGAAAGCAGGGGAUCGCAAGACCUUGCGCUGAUUGAGCGGCCGAUAUCAGAUUAGCUAGUUGGUGAGGUAAAGGCUCACCAAGGCGACGAUCUGUAGCGGGUCUGAGAGGAUGAUCCGCCACACUGGAACUGAGACACGGUCCAGACUCCUACGGGAGGCAGCAGUGGGGAAUUUUGGACAAUGGGCGCAAGCCUGAUCCAGCCAUGCCGCGUGAGUGAAGAAGGCCUUCGGGUUGUAAAGCUCUUUCGGCCGGGAAGAAAUCGCACGGGUUAAUACCCUGUGUGGAUGACGGUACCGGAAUAAGAAGCACCGGCUAACUACGUG
Molecule: ribosomal RNA, 428 nt
Filed under: uncultured bacterium
Lineage: Bacteria
Description: bacterial SSU rRNA
Rfam family: Bacterial small subunit ribosomal RNA
Source: RNAcentral